Parastrongyloides trichosuri is the source of this 45-nucleotide non-coding RNA. The record is from Rfam. NCBI's taxonomy places the organism in Eukaryota, Metazoa, Nematoda, Chromadorea, Rhabditida, Strongyloididae.
CCAACGGUCCUCUUUAGGACCAAUAAAAUAUUCUUAAUCUUUUGU